UAUCACCAAAAUUUUACAGACGCAUUUGCACGACCAGAUACCAAAGGAAAUCAAAAGUGAGUAACUUGUCUGUGUUACACAUCUCAAUCAAAAGAAACGCGUCGUUAGUUCAUUGAAAUGCAAAAGAAACAAAAUCUGCUCGAAAAGAAAAACCAUGUCAAAAAUGUGUGUAAAUUAUCAAUCGAUCAAUUGGUGUCUUUUCACAG
Drosophila albomicans is the source of this 206-nucleotide long non-coding RNA. RefSeq lists it as uncharacterized. The transcript has 2 exons. The record is from RefSeq and is a predicted model, not a curated record. Lineage: Eukaryota; Metazoa; Arthropoda; Insecta; Diptera; Drosophilidae.